Molecule: non-coding RNA, 794 nt
Organism: Heterocephalus glaber (naked mole-rat)
Lineage: Eukaryota; Metazoa; Chordata; Mammalia; Rodentia; Bathyergidae
Source: RefSeq, a predicted model, not a curated record
UUUGUGCUAUUUUGAAGAAUUUGCUUAAAACUUCUAUUGAAUGAAAACACCUAGCCUGCCACCAUGAAAAUCAAUAAUACACCUGGUUUCCAGUUUCAAUCUCUAGAAAAGAUGUAAACGUUGUGGGGAAAGAUAAGGAAGAAAAGUAGGCGAAGUCCACAUCAGGAAGAUCUUCAUAUGGAAAGACUUUAAGAUCAAGGAAAAGAAAGCACUGAAGAUGGUGGGAGAAAGCAGCUACAAGCAUUACUAUGUGGAAAACUGCUAAGGAAGCAUAAUAGCUACAUCUGAUUUGGAGCUCUAUCUGAUAAGCAGUAGUCAAGGAGCUGUAAGUAGUAGAAAACAGCAUUUAUAAAUUUGGUCUCUGGCAUUAAGAGAACUGAAUUGAAAUACUGGCUUCAUCACUUACUAGUUACAUGACCUUGAGCUUCAGGUUUCCCAACAAUAAUCUGAAGGUACUUGUAAAGAUUGAAUGAGAUAUUUAAAGUGCUUAAUACAAUGCCUAAGAAUUGUGAUGAAUGUUUACUGCUAUUAAUAGUAAUAUUAAUAUUAUUAGCAGUUACAGUAACUAAAAGAGGAAGUAUAAUGCAAUAGGAGGAGCCUGGCCUUCUAAAUCAGACAGACCUGCCAUGUGUGGUGGCAUACCCCUAUAAUCCCAGCACUCAGGAGGCUGAGACAGGAGGGUCACUGCAAGUUCAAGGCCAGCCUGAACUGCCUAGUGAGACCCUGUCUCAAAAAAACAAACAAAAAAUCAGACAGACCUGCAUUUGAGCUAAAUUCCUUAUCCUUUACCUCAA